UGGGGAAUAUUGCGCAAUGGGCGAAAGCCUGACGCAGCGACGCCGCGUGAGGGAUGAAGGCCUUCGGGUUGUAAACCUCUUUCAGCAGGGACGAAGCGAAAGUGACGGUACCUGCAGAAGAAGCACCGGCCAACUACGUGCCAGCAGCCGCGGUAAUACGUAGGGUGCAAGCGUUGUCCGGAAUUAUUGGGCGUAAAGAGCUCGUAGGCGGUCUGUCACGUCGACUGUGAAAACCCGAGGCUCAACCUCGGGCCUGCAGUCGAUACGGGCAGACUAGAGUUCGGUAGGGGAGACUGGAAUUCCUGGUGUAGCGGUGAAAUGCGCAGAUAUCAGGAGGAACACCGGUGGCGAAGGCGGGUCUCUGGGCCGAAACUGACGCUGAGGAGCGAAAGCGUGGGGAGCGAACAGGAUUAGAUACCCCCGUAGUCC
Molecule: ribosomal RNA, 429 nt
Filed under: uncultured bacterium
Lineage: Bacteria
Description: bacterial SSU rRNA
Rfam family: Bacterial small subunit ribosomal RNA
Source: RNAcentral